Molecule: unclassified non-coding RNA, 89 nt
Filed under: Pseudomonas moraviensis
Lineage: Bacteria; Pseudomonadati; Pseudomonadota; Gammaproteobacteria; Pseudomonadales; Pseudomonadaceae
Source: RNAcentral
UGUAGGAGUGAGCCUGCUCGCGAUAGCGGUGUGUCAGUUGGCAAAUAGGUGGCUGACACUCCGCUAUCGCGAGCAGGCUCACUCCUACA